CCUACGGGAGGCUGCAGUAGGGAAUAUUGCUCAAUGGGGGAAACCCUGAAGCAGCAACGCCGCGUGGAGGAUGAAGGUUUUCGGAUCGUAAACUUCUGUUGUUAGAGAAGAUAAUGACGGUAUCUAACGAAUAAGCACCUGCCAACUCCGUGCCAGCAGCCGCGGUAAUACGGAGGGUGCAAGCGUUACUCGGAAUCACUGGGCGUAAAGAGCGCGUAGGCGGGAUAGCAAGUCAGAUGUGAAAUCCUAUGGCUUAACCAUAGAACUGCAUUGGAAACUGUGAUUCUAAAGUGUGGGAGAGGAGAGUGGAAUUCUUGGUGUAGGGGUAAAAUCCGUAGAGAUCUAGAGGAAUACUCAUUGCGAAGGCGACCUGCUAGAACGUAACUGACGCUGAUGCGCGAAAGCGUGGGGAGCAAACAGGAUUAGAUACCCCAGUAGUC
RNAcentral lists this ribosomal RNA (440 nucleotides) under uncultured bacterium. RNAcentral's name for it is "partial 16S ribosomal RNA". It matches the Rfam family "Bacterial small subunit ribosomal RNA", at positions 338 to 795 of the family's 1533-position model. The record is from RNAcentral.